GACGAACGCUGGCGGCGUGCUUAACACAUGCAAGUCGAGCGGUAAGGCCCUUUCGGGGUACACGAGCGGCGAACGGGUGAGUAACACGUGGGUGACCUGCCCUUAGCUCUGGGAUAAGCCUGGGAAACUGGGUCUAAUAACCGGNUAUGACUCCAUGACGCAUGUUGUGGGGUGGAAAGCCUUGUGCGGCUAGGGAUGGGCCCGCGGCCUAUCAGCUUGUUGGUGGGGUGAUGGCCACCAAGGCGACGACGGUAGCCGGCCUGAGAGGGCGACCGGCCACACUGGGACUGAGACACGGCCCA
RNAcentral lists this ribosomal RNA (302 nucleotides) under uncultured bacterium. RNAcentral's name for it is "bacterial SSU rRNA". It matches the Rfam family "Bacterial small subunit ribosomal RNA", at positions 28 to 333 of the family's 1533-position model. The record is from RNAcentral.